GGUCAAUGCUGCCCAGUUUCACGGCCUCAGGUAUACUAUCAGCCCCUAUUGGGCUGCUCUCCAAGUGCCCAGAAGAACUUAAAGACAGACCACAGAGUGCAGAAUAUCAGAACUGUGCAAAGAACAUAUAAGGCUAGCGGAAGCCAGCUGCUCUGUUGUAAGCACACUCAAGCAGCCCUAUGGAGGAUUAUAGGUGGUGAGGAACUGAGGCUUCCUGCCAACAGCCAGAACCAAUUUGCCGGCAAUGCUGAGGUGCCAGUCAAGCCUUCAAGGGAUCACAGCUCCCUUAGACUACAACCUUAUGAGAAAGCUUAAGCUGGAACCACCCAGAAAAGUCACUCCUGAAUUACUGACACAGAAACUGUGAGAUAAUAAAUGC
Long non-coding RNA from Bos taurus (domestic cattle), 379 nucleotides. The record is from Ensembl. NCBI's taxonomy places the organism in Eukaryota, Metazoa, Chordata, Mammalia, Artiodactyla, Bovidae.